GGGGUCGACUUGGUUUUGACAGCGAGUCUAAUUGAGUAGUAAGCACGUCGAGCGCUGGGAUACAGCUCGUAAAUCUCAUAUUUCACACUUUUUUAAACGGCGAUAAUAAUUACGCCUUGGCUGCGUAAUCCGAAUUAUAGUAGGAUUACCUUAGUCCCGAGAAGCUCGGGAACCAAGAUGUCUCGCGAAGGCCUUAAUUUACGGCAUUCGCACCAGAGGCACCGAUAAAGUAAAUUUAGGUAUUCUGACACCUUUAAGGAAUACCGAAAUUCUAAAGGUUACGGAAAAAUUAGGAGGUUUUUUGCCAGAUUUUUCCCGACAAUUUAAGUAAAAACUAAACGUGUAGAAAGCUAUUGAAUUGCUUGUUUGGACGGGAGUUCGAGUCUCCCCGACUCCACCU
RNAcentral lists this transfer-messenger RNA (400 nucleotides) under Flavobacteriaceae. RNAcentral's name for it is "Mesonia putidus Standard tmRNA". It matches the Rfam family "transfer-messenger RNA". From Rfam's summary of the family: Bacterial tmRNA, also known as 10Sa RNA or SsrA, is named for its dual tRNA and mRNA-like properties. The record is from RNAcentral. Lineage: Bacteria; Pseudomonadati; Bacteroidota; Flavobacteriia; Flavobacteriales. RNAcentral also lists the same sequence under 1 other name.